CACGUAGGGGGCGAGCGUUGUCCGGAAUCAUUGGGCGUAAAGAGCUCGUAGUCGGCUCGGUAAGUCGGGUGUGAAACCCCCCGGCUCAACCUGGGGACGCCACCCGAUACUGCUGUGGCUAGAGUCCAGUAGGGGAGUGUGGAAUUCCCGGUGUAGCGGUGAAAUGCGCAGAUAUCGGGAGGAACACCAGCGGCGAAGGCGGCACUCUGGGCUGGAACUGACGCUGAGGAGCGAAAGCGUGGGGAGCGAACAGG
This 254-nucleotide ribosomal RNA is filed under the name uncultured bacterium. RNAcentral's name for it is "partial 16S ribosomal RNA". It matches the Rfam family "Bacterial small subunit ribosomal RNA", at positions 524 to 776 of the family's 1533-position model. The record is from RNAcentral.